RNAcentral lists this ribosomal RNA (142 nucleotides) under uncultured eukaryote. RNAcentral describes it as "partial 18S ribosomal RNA". It matches the Rfam family "Eukaryotic small subunit ribosomal RNA", at positions 1299 to 1458 of the family's 1831-position model. The record is from RNAcentral.
UGGUGGAGUGAUUUGUCUGGUUAAUUCCGUUAACGGACGAGACCGCCGCCUGCUAAAUAGUUCUACCAAUGGUUUUUCAUUGGUAAGAGCUUCUUAGAGGGACGUUCAUUCUACAAGAUGAAGGAAGAUGGCGGCAAUAACA